This 1416-nucleotide ribosomal RNA is filed under the name Salmonella enterica subsp. enterica serovar Paratyphi A. Its description in RNAcentral is "bacterial SSU rRNA". It matches the Rfam family "Bacterial small subunit ribosomal RNA". The record is from RNAcentral. Lineage: Bacteria; Pseudomonadati; Pseudomonadota; Gammaproteobacteria; Enterobacterales; Enterobacteriaceae.
CAUGCAAGUCGAACGGUAACAGGAAGCAGCUUGCUGCUUUGCUGACGAGUGGCGGACGGGUGAGUAAUGUCUGGGAAACUGCCUGAUGGAGGGGGAUAACUACUGGAAACGGUGGCUAAUACCGCAUAACGUCGCAAGACCAAAGAGGGGGACCUUCGGGCCUCUUGCCAUCAGAUGUGCCCAGAUGGGAUUAGCUUGUUGGUGAGGUAACGGCUCACCAAGGCGACGAUCCCUAGCUGGUCUGAGAGGAUGACCAGCCACACUGGAACUGAGACACGGUCCAGACUCCUACGGGAGGCAGCAGUGGGGAAUAUUGCACAAUGGGCGCAAGCCUGAUGCAGCCAUGCCGCGUGUAUGAAGAAGGCCUUCGGGUUGUAAAGUACUUUCAGCGGGGAGGAAGGUGUUGUGGUUAAUAACCGCAGCAAUUGACGUUACCCGCAGAAGAAGCACCGGCUAACUCCGUGCCAGCAGCCGCGGUAAUACGGAGGGUGCAAGCGUUAAUCGGAAUUACUGGGCGUAAAGCGCACGCAGGCGGUCUGUCAAGUCGGAUGUGAAAUCCCCGGGCUCAACCUGGGAACUGCAUUCGAAACUGGCAGGCUUGAGUCUUGUAGAGGGGGGUAGAAUUCCAGGUGUAGCGGUGAAAUGCGUAGAGAUCUGGAGGAAUACCGGUGGCGAAGGCGGCCCCCUGGACAAAGACUGACGCUCAGGUGCGAAAGCGUGGGGAGCAAACAGGAUUAGAUACCCUGGUAGUCCACGCCGUAAACGAUGUCUACUUGGAGGUUGUGCCCUUGAGGCGUGGCUUCCGGAGCUAACGCGUUAAGUAGACCGCCUGGGGAGUACGGCCGCAAGGUUAAAACUCAAAUGAAUUGACGGGGGCCCGCACAAGCGGUGGAGCAUGUGGUUUAAUUCGAUGCAACGCGAAGAACCUUACCUGGUCUUGACAUCCACGGAAGUUUUCAGAGAUGAGAAUGUGCCUUCGGGAACCGUGAGACAGGUGCUGCAUGGCUGUCGUCAGCUCGUGUUGUGAAAUGUUGGGUUAAGUCCCGCAACGAGCGCAACCCUUAUCCUUUGUUGCCAGCGGUCCGGCCGGGAACUCAAAGGAGACUGCCAGUGAUAAACUGGAGGAAGGUGGGGAUGACGUCAAGUCAUCAUGGCCCUUACGACCAGGGCUACACACGUGCUACAAUGGCGCAUACAAAGAGAAGCGACCUCGCGAGAGCAAGCGGACCUCAUAAAGUGCGUCGUAGUCCGGAUUGGAGUCUGCAACUCGACUCCAUGAAGUCGGAAUCGCUAGUAAUCGUGGAUCAGAAUGCCACGGUGAAUACGUUCCCGGGCCUUGUACACACCGCCCGUCACACCAUGGGAGUGGGUUGCAAAAGAAGUAGGUAGCUUAACCUUCGGGAGGGCGCUUACCAC